CCUACGGGGCGCACCAGUGGGGAAUAUUGCACAAUGGGCGCAAGCCUGAUGCAGCCAUGCCGCGUGUAUGAAGAAGGCCUUCGGGUUGUAAAGUACUUUCAGCGGGGAGGAAGGUGUUGUGGUUAAUAACCACAGCAAUUGACGUUACCCGCAGAAGAAGCACCGGCUAACUCCGUGCCAGCAGCCGCGGUAAUACGGAGGGUGCGAGCGUUAAUCGGAAUUACUGGGCGUAAAGCGCACGCAGGCGGUCUGUCAAGUCGGAUGUGAAAUCCCCGGGCUCAACCUGGGAACUGCAUUCGAAACUGGCAGGCUGGAGUCUUGUAGAGGGGGGUAGAAUUCCAGGCGUAGCGGUGAAAUGCGUAGAGAUCUGGAGGAAUACCGGUGGCGAAGGCGGCCCCCUGGACAAAGGCUGACGCUCAGGUGCGAAAGCGUGGGGAGCAAAAAGGAUUAGAUACCCCUGUAGUC
Molecule: ribosomal RNA, 465 nt
Filed under: uncultured bacterium
Lineage: Bacteria
Description: bacterial SSU rRNA
Rfam family: Bacterial small subunit ribosomal RNA
Source: RNAcentral